UUACUUACUAAGAAGGUAGUGAUUUUUGUGACAGGUAACGUGCUAGUAUUUAGUCAGUAAAUAUGACGACUUUAUUUUUUAAGAGUGUAAGAAUUAGUUUUAAGAGUAAGAGUUAAGAAUACCAUCCGUGAGCUGCCGCGAGCAUCGGAAGAAAAGAAAAAGUACGUGAAAUGAAGUUAACAGACACUGAUUACUUCUUUUUAUUCUUUCUUGCUAAAACUAAAAAAAACGUUUUGCGUAUAAAUGAACUUAUACUUUGCGACCUAUCUUUCUUGCGUCACCUGGCAACAAGCAAACGGCACGCUACAGCAGCCAGAUGUAUGCGUCAUGCGCCAGACACGCCGUCUAAGCGAGCGAAGCCUGCUGCGCAUGUGAGCGUUGGGCACGUUCGGCGACCCAUCUGCCCGUUUUUCUUUCUUUUUCUCUUUCUUGAACUUAGCCUGGUUCGUUGGUAUCCGGCGUGUCCUUGCGCUCCUUGUGCACUUUGGGACGGCACCACUGGACUAUCUCAAGCUGAAGCGGUCCGGUGGAGCUUGGCACGGCAAAUACCACCGCUUACCUGGCGCCACAAGGUUGAAUGAACGCACAAAAAGCCCGGAUCGAGCAUUUACAUACAGCAAAAUAAACAUUUCCUCAUCUCACAA
Molecule: long non-coding RNA, 644 nt
Filed under: Dermacentor andersoni
Lineage: Eukaryota; Metazoa; Arthropoda; Arachnida; Ixodida; Ixodidae
Description: uncharacterized LOC126523635
Source: RNAcentral